AACGUACGCUGGCGGCACGCCUAACACAUGCAAGUCGAACGAAGUAGCAAUACUUAGUGGCAGACGGGUGAGUAACAUGUAGGUAUCUACCCUUUGGCCUGGAAUAACACGAGGAAACUUGUGCUAAUACCGGAUAAGUCUUUACGGAGAAAGCUUUAUGCACCAUUGGAUGAGCCUGCACUUGAUUAGUUUGUUGGUGGGGUAAUGGCCUACCAAGACUGUGAUCAAUAGCUGAUUUGAGAGGAUGAUCAGCCACAUUGGGACUGAGACACGGCCCAAACUCCUACGGGAGGCAGCAGUGGGGAAUCUUGCACAAUGGAGGAAACUCUGAUGCAGCGAUGCCGCGUGAGUGAAGAAGGCCCUUGGGUUGUAAAGCUCUUUCGUCGGGGAAGAAAAUGACUGUACCCGAAUAAGAAGGUCCGGCUAACUUCGUG
Molecule: ribosomal RNA, 434 nt
Filed under: uncultured bacterium
Lineage: Bacteria
Description: bacterial SSU rRNA
Rfam family: Bacterial small subunit ribosomal RNA
Source: RNAcentral